Molecule: ribosomal RNA, 257 nt
Filed under: uncultured bacterium
Lineage: Bacteria
Description: partial 16S ribosomal RNA
Rfam family: Bacterial small subunit ribosomal RNA
Source: RNAcentral
UACAGAGGGUGCGAGCGUUGUUCGGAAUUAUUGGGCGUAAAGGGCGCGUAGGCGGUGCGGUAAGUCACCUGUGAAAUCUCCUGGCUCAACUGGGAGCUUGCAGGCGAAACUGCCGUGCUGGAGUGUGGGAGAGGUGCGUGGAAUUCCCGGUGUAGCGGUGAAAUGCGUAGAUAUCGUUUGGAACGCCAAUGGUGAAAACAGACAGCUGGGGAGUGUGCUGACGCUGGAGACACGGAAAGCCAGGGGAGCGAAACGGG